GGGAGUGGCCAACGGCUUGCAGAGCAACAUGCCCAAGUUUUAUUGUGACUACUGCAAUACAUACCUCACCCAUGACUCUCCAUCUGUGAGAAAGACACACUGCAGUGGUAGGAAACACAAAGAGAAUGUGAAAGACUACUAUCAGAAAUGGAUGGAAGAGCAGGCUCAGAGCCUGAUAGACAAAACAACGGCUGCAUUUCAACAAGGAAAGAUACCUCCUACUCCAUUCUCUGCUCCUCCUCCAGCAGGGGCGAUGAUAACACCUCCCCCCAAGUCUUCCAGGUCCUCCUCGCCCUGAUAUGAUGCCAGCACCCCAUAUGGGGGGCCCUCCCAUGAUGCCAAUGAUGGGCCCUCCUCCUCCUGGGAUGAUGCCAGUGGGACCUGCUCCUCGAAUGAGGUCACCCAUGGGAGGCCAUAUGCCAAUGAUGCCUGGGCCCCCAAUGAUGAGACCUCCUGCCCAUCCCAUGAAGGUGUCCACUUGGCCUGGAAUGACUCGACCAGACAGAUAAGAUAGAGGGGAGGCCUCAUUCUAUCAG
RNA transcript from Sapajus apella (tufted capuchin), 536 nucleotides. It is a transcript of the gene named U1 small nuclear ribonucleoprotein C pseudogene, with no coding region annotated. The transcript has a single exon. NCBI's taxonomy places the organism in Eukaryota, Metazoa, Chordata, Mammalia, Primates, Cebidae. The record is from RefSeq and is a predicted model, not a curated record.